This 321-nucleotide ribosomal RNA is filed under the name uncultured Lactobacillus sp. RNAcentral describes it as "bacterial SSU rRNA". It matches the Rfam family "Bacterial small subunit ribosomal RNA", at positions 222 to 525 of the family's 1533-position model. Lineage: Bacteria; Bacillati; Bacillota; Bacilli; Lactobacillales; Lactobacillaceae. The record is from RNAcentral.
GGAUGGGACCUGCGAUGCAUUAGUCUAGUUGGUAAGGUAACGGGCUUACCAAGGCGAUGAUGCAUAGCCCGAGUUGAGAGACUGAUCGGGCCACAUUGGGGACUGAGACACGGGCCCAAACUCCUACGGGAGGCAGCAGUAGGGAAUCUUCCACAAUGGACGAAAGUCUGAUGGAGCAAACGCCGCGUGAGUGAAGAAGGUUUUCGGGAUCGUAAAGCUCUGUUGUUGGUGAAGAAGGAUAGAGGUAGUAACUGGCCCUUUAUUUGACGGUAAUCAACCAGAAAGUCACGGGCUAACUACGUGCCAGCAGCCGCGGUAAAU